AACGAACGCUGGCGGCAGGCCUAACACAUGCAAGUCGAGCGCCCUUUCGGGGGAGCGGCGGACGGGUGAGUAACGUGUGGGAAUAUGCCCUUCUCUACGGAAUAGCCUCGGGAAACUGAGAGUAAUACCGUAUACGCCCUAUGGGGGAAAGAUUUAUCGGGGAAGGAUUAGCCCGCGUUGGAUUAGGUAGUUGGUGGGGUAAUGGCCUACCAAGCCGACGAUCCAUAGCUGGUUUGAGAGGAUGAUCAGCCACACUGGGACUGAGACACGGCCCAGACUCCUACGGGAGGCAGCAGUGGGGAAUCUUAGACAAUGGGGGCAACCCUGAUCUAGCCAUGCCGCGUGAGUGAUGAAGGCCUUAGGGUUGUAAAGCUCUUUCAGCUGGGAAGAUAAUGACGGUACCAGCAGAAGAAGCCCCGGCUAACUCCGUG
RNAcentral lists this ribosomal RNA (431 nucleotides) under uncultured bacterium. RNAcentral describes it as "partial 16S ribosomal RNA". It matches the Rfam family "Bacterial small subunit ribosomal RNA", at positions 29 to 507 of the family's 1533-position model. The record is from RNAcentral.